AACAUCCCAUGCCAAACGUUUUGAACGAAAAACUCAUGUUUACAUUACAUUUGUUUUACGAAAAAAAGAAUCACCAUAUUUAAACCGAAUUCUGCUUUUCAUCUUCGUGCUGCUUCUCACAAAAUCUGCUGCCAUGGUUCCCUUGAUUUAUCAUUCCCAUGUAUAGAGAAACCUCGCUGCGAUUCUGAUUUGAACAUGUUUAAGUUAUUUAUUUCCAUAUUUUUUACAACAUAUGCUUUUCAUCUUCGUGUUACUUUGAGGAAAAUCGUAUUCUAUUAUGUACCUUUACUUGUACCGAUUUCUUAAAAUGUGUUGUUUUCAUCAUGAUUCUGUUUUUUUUUUUUUUCUUUUCAGAAACUAUGAAAUGGUAUGGCUUUUAUGUUACUUUGUGAAUUGAAGAAGUAAACGGGAAACCAACUCCAGAUUUGGGUGGCUUUGUCGUUGUUACAAAGGAAAAUUGAGGUUUUCGGCCCGGGUACGCAUGAUUUGCACUACUAGCCAGCCUACUUCGAUUACCUGGGGAAGAAUUGUAUUUAUGAUGAUGAACUUGUUACUGAAUCAUGGACAUCAUCAUCUUUCAAAUUAUUGAGAUCUUCCAUCCAGUUACAAUUUUUGUUGUUGAAUCUUUGGGAUACAUACAACAAUGUUUCUUCAUGUACAGAUUGUAUCAAUGCUCGCGUGACAGAUAAAUGUUGUAUGUAUCAAGUUUUACAACUUUUGAUUCGACCUAUCAAUUAUGUGCAUUAUGUUUCAAAUCAGUGUUUUUUGUUCGAA
Erythranthe guttata (spotted monkey flower) is the source of this 774-nucleotide non-coding RNA. The record is from RefSeq and is a predicted model, not a curated record. Lineage: Eukaryota; Viridiplantae; Streptophyta; Magnoliopsida; Lamiales; Phrymaceae.